UCUGCCUCCCGGGUUUAAGCCGUUCUGUACUUCAGCCUCCCAAGUAGCUGGGAUUACAGGCACCUGCCACCAUGCCUGGCUAAUUUUCAUAUUUUCAGUAGAGACAGAGUUUCACCAUCUUGUCCAGGCUCGUCUUGAACUCCUGACCUCGUGAUCCACCCACCUCAGCCUCACAAAGUUCUCAUUACAGGCAUAAACCACUGCGCCGGGCCAAGCCACCUUUCUUUUGGUAUAGCCGUGCCUAAAAGAGGAAGCGCUUCGUGUAGGGAAUUAACAGCAGAAUUGGAAACAUCGUGAUUAUCCUGACACAGAGGGCAGGCUCAGAUAUUGGCUGUCACCAAAGGGUUUUCUGAAGGAUCUAGGUUGCCGAGAGGGUAGAGCUCAGUGGUAGAGCAUGCACGAGGCCCUAGGCUCAAUCCCCAGUACCUCCAGGUUUUGUUUUCUUCCCCGGGACACCAGUAAGAAGCGGUCCAUGAUAUUCCCCAACUUUGGAAUUUUCUGUCAAGGUGAAUUGUGUUGGCCUCUGCAUUUCUCUCUCAUACACAGAGGUGACUCGUGUUUAUUCACUUGAGGUUAUUUGCUGCUUAGGAUUAUCCACCUAUUCUUUCUAAGCAGUCCCAUCAAUCACUAACAUGGACCACGCAUGGGGGAAGCAAGUAGUAUUUCUGGCCAUCCAGCCUAUUUCUAGCUGUAAAUGAAAUCAUCAGAAACCAUAGAACUGUGUGGCCCAAGUCUGAUUUCAGAUUGGAAGCUAAAAGGCUCAAGUCCUUUUCUGUUUCCUUUUCUAACUCCCCCUAACCAGGUUGCAGAAGCCCUACAAGCUUUCACUAAAAGAUUACACUGCCAGGGGUUGACGAUUUGAUGUGCUGGUGGUCAUUUUUUCCAUUGGAGAUCCGCAAACUCUGAAACUUAAACGAUUUAACUACAAACACACAGCAAAUGAUGAAAAGAUAGCGGUCACCUCAGCUGAAAUUUGGUGGAAGUAAAAAGUACUUCUCUGGGUCUUCUGAGGAAGCUUCUGGUGUGAGAUGCAAACACUCUGAACUCCAGGGACCAAGCUCUAUUUCAUGCCAAGGUUACUCAACACCCAGAAGGCAGAACAGCGACCUCUCUCUCUCCAUCUGCAGAAGCCAAGCAAGCGUGUGGGCCUCCGUAUGCAUCCUUUCUUUUAUUCACUUUCUAAAUGCUGUAACGGCUACCAUCUACCAGGUGGUCACAAACCAUCUCUAAAGUCAAUCUGAGGUUAACCCACUCGACUUGUGAGGGAUCCACCUAUACUGCUUCUGCACCUGUAAUAUGACUAAGGAGACGGUGGCUGCACACGUAGUUAACACCGAUUGUACUGUGACUCCGCCUUUCCGCAGCAGCUCUCCGGCUCUUUAGAGUCCUUUUGAGCCAAGCUGGACGUGAGGCAUAAAGGAGCUCUUUGCAAACGCCAGGAGGAAUUUCUUCAGGGUGAAGUUAACUUUCAAUCGGCUUCAUUCUAAGAGAAAUAUGUGAAGCAAACAAACGGGAACUUUUUUUCUCAUCUUUUGCAUUUCAAGCAAAAACUAAUAAAAUUAGAUGUUUCCACCGUCAUGCUCAGUCUCGAAGCUGCCAGCAGAUCCCGCUUCUAACUUUUAACACAGGCACGCAGGAAAUCGGGAAAUCCCUGCAGUUCCCUCAGAAGCUACAGUAUCAGCAGUUCCUGAAGCGCAAACCAAAACCCAACAUCAUGUACCCCUCCAAAGAGCUCAGCCGGUCUGUUGAGGGACGGAAACAGCGGCGAGGUGCUCUGGAAGCCGUGACAGCCUGGCCGAAAUGAACCAGGUCCCUCCUGGUCGAGCCUACCUCCCUAGGGACAAGAAACGUACCUCUCUUCCCUCAUAUCCAGAGGAAGCAAUGGAGGGAUGUGGCGCUUAGACUCACUCUACUAUCCAGUCCAUCGAAGUCCUAAUAAUCUUCAGGAUGCGACAGAGUGAGACUCCGUCUCAACAAAACAAAACAAAACAACCCUAAGGAAAAGAGAGAAUGUACUGGAGGAUAGGAAGUAUCUAGGAGAACCUUCUUUUUUUUUUUUCUUAUAUUUAAAUUUAAGCCUUCAUUUAUAUAAAAUAAAACGCAUGAAACCUAUUCAGCUUAUGGCUUAUUAUAUAUAUAACCAAAAC
Molecule: long non-coding RNA, 2147 nt
Filed under: Homo sapiens (human)
Lineage: Eukaryota; Metazoa; Chordata; Mammalia; Primates; Hominidae
Description: HSALNT0362750
Source: RNAcentral